GUCUAUGGCCAUGCCACCCUGAACAAGCCUGAUCCUGUCUGAUCUCGGAAGCUAAGCAGGGUCGGGCAUGGUUAGUACCUGGAUGGGAGACCAGGUGCUGUAGGCG
Molecule: ribosomal RNA, 106 nt
Filed under: Pteropus alecto (black flying fox)
Lineage: Eukaryota; Metazoa; Chordata; Mammalia; Chiroptera; Pteropodidae
Also listed under: 1 other name
Source: RNAcentral